GACGAACGCUGGCGGCGUGCCUAAUACAUGCAAGUAGAACGCACAGUUUAUACCGUAGCUUGCUACACCAUAGACUGUGAGUUGCGAACGGGUGAGUAACGCGUAGGUAACCUGCCUGGUAGCGGGGGAUAACUAUUGGAAACGAUAGCUAAUACCGCAUAAUAUUAAUUAUUGCAUGAUAAUUAAUUGAAAGGUGCAAUUGCACCACUACCAGAUGGACCUGCGUUGUAUUAGCUAGUAGGUGAGGUAACGGCUCACCUAGGCGACGAUACAUAGCCGACCUGGGAGGGGGAUCGGCCACACUGGGACUGAGACACGGCCCAGACUCCUACGGGAGGCAGCAGGAGGGAAUCUUCGGCAAUGGACGAAAGUCUGACCGAGCAACGCCGCGGGAGGGAAGAAGGUUUUCGGAUCGUAAAGCUCUGUUGUAAGAGAAGAACGGGUGUGAGAGUGGAAAGUUCACACUGUGACGGUAUCUUACCAGAAAGGGACGGCUAACUACGUG
Molecule: ribosomal RNA, 505 nt
Filed under: uncultured bacterium
Lineage: Bacteria
Description: partial 16S ribosomal RNA
Rfam family: Bacterial small subunit ribosomal RNA
Source: RNAcentral